UGUGAACCAAACUACCAAAGAAUCCUAAUUUGCACUAGGAUGCCAAAAACUGACGAGACACCAAUUGAUUCGUGUUGCACCGAGGAAGAAGUUGUGCACACGUUUAAAUCCUACUAACACAAGAAACAAGAAGGUGUUAGAUAACGUAAAGGAAGAAUAAAGGUAAAAAAAUGAAAACCUACAGCUAAGAAUCAAUAAAAAUUGCUGAAAACAGAAAACCCGAAAAACUGCG
This 232-nucleotide long non-coding RNA is filed under the name Gossypium barbadense (sea-island cotton). Its description in RNAcentral is "long non-coding RNA (GBAR_LNC022891)". Lineage: Eukaryota; Viridiplantae; Streptophyta; Magnoliopsida; Malvales; Malvaceae. The record is from RNAcentral.